This 254-nucleotide ribosomal RNA is filed under the name uncultured bacterium. RNAcentral's name for it is "partial 16S ribosomal RNA". It matches the Rfam family "Bacterial small subunit ribosomal RNA", at positions 524 to 776 of the family's 1533-position model. The record is from RNAcentral.
UACGUAGGGUGCAAGCGUUGUCCGGAUUUAUUGGGCGUAAAGAGCUCGUAGGCGGUGUGUCACGUCGGCCGUGAAAACCUGCAGCUUAACUGUGGGCGUGCGGUCGAUACGGGCAUCACUGGAGUUCGGCAGGGGAGACUGGAAUUCCUGGUGUAGCGGUGAAAUGCGCAGAUAUCAGGAGGAACACCGGUGGCGAAGGCGGGUCGCUGGGCCGAUACUGACGCUGAGGAGCGAAAGCGUGGGGAGCAAACAGG